This 2924-nucleotide ribosomal RNA is filed under the name Escherichia coli. Its description in RNAcentral is "23S ribosomal RNA". It matches the Rfam family "Bacterial large subunit ribosomal RNA". The record is from RNAcentral. Lineage: Bacteria; Pseudomonadati; Pseudomonadota; Gammaproteobacteria; Enterobacterales; Enterobacteriaceae.
GGGUUGUGAGGUUAAGCGACUAAGCGUACACGGUGGAUGCCCUGGCAGUCAGAGGCGAUGAAGGACGUGCUAAUCUGCGAUAAGCGUCGGUAAGGUGAUAUGAACCGUUAUAACCGGCGAUUUCCGAAUGGGGAAACCCAGUGUGUUUCGACACACUAUCAUUAACUGAAUCCAUAGGUUAAUGAGGCGAACCGGGGGAACUGAAACAUCUAAGUACCCCGAGGAAAAGAAAUCAACCGAGAUUCCCCCAGUAGCGGCGAGCGAACGGGGAGGAGCCCAGAGCCUGAAUCAGUGUGUGUGUUAGUGGAAGCGUCUGGAAAGGCGCGCGAUACAGGGUGACAGCCCCGUACACAAAAAUGCACAUGCUGUGAGCUCGAUGAGUAGGGCGGGACACGUGGUAUCCUGUCUGAAUAUGGGGGGACCAUCCUCCAAGGCUAAAUACUCCUGACUGACCGAUAGUGAACCAGUACCGUGAGGGAAAGGCGAAAAGAACCCCGGCGAGGGGAGUGAAAAAGAACCUGAAACCGUGUACGUACAAGCAGUGGGAGCACGCUUAGGCGUGUGACUGCGUACCUUUUGUAUAAUGGGUCAGCGACUUAUAUUCUGUAGCAAGGUUAACCGAAUAGGGGAGCCGAAGGGAAACCGAGUCUUAACUGGGCGUUAAGUUGCAGGGUAUAGACCCGAAACCCGGUGAUCUAGCCAUGGGCAGGUUGAAGGUUGGGUAACACUAACUGGAGGACCGAACCGACUAAUGUUGAAAAAUUAGCGGAUGACUUGUGGCUGGGGGUGAAAGGCCAAUCAAACCGGGAGAUAGCUGGUUCUCCCCGAAAGCUAUUUAGGUAGCGCCUCGUGAAUUCAUCUCCGGGGGUAGAGCACUGUUUCGGCAAGGGGGUCAUCCCGACUUACCAACCCGAUGCAAACUGCGAAUACCGGAGAAUGUUAUCACGGGAGACACACGGCGGGUGCUAACGUCCGUCGUGAAGAGGGAAACAACCCAGACCGCCAGCUAAGGUCCCAAAGUCAUGGUUAAGUGGGAAACGAUGUGGGAAGGCCCAGACAGCCAGGAUGUUGGCUUAGAAGCAGCCAUCAUUUAAAGAAAGCGUAAUAGCUCACUGGUCGAGUCGGCCUGCGCGGAAGAUGUAACGGGGCUAAACCAUGCACCGAAGCUGCGGCAGCGACACUGUGUGUUGUUGGGUAGGGGAGCGUUCUGUAAGCCUGUGAAGGUGUGCUGUGAGGCAUGCUGGAGGUAUCAGAAGUGCGAAUGCUGACAUAAGUAACGAUAAAGCGGGUGAAAAGCCCGCUCGCCGGAAGACCAAGGGUUCCUGUCCAACGUUAAUCGGGGCAGGGUGAGUCGACCCCUAAGGCGAGGCCGAAAGGCGUAGUCGAUGGGAAACAGGUUAAUAUUCCUGUACUUGGUGUUACUGCGAAGGGGGGACGGAGAAGGCUAUGUUGGCCGGGCGACGGUUGUCCCGGUUUAAGCGUGUAGGCUGGUUUUCCAGGCAAAUCCGGAAAAUCAAGGCUGAGGCGUGAUGACGAGGCACUACGGUGCUGAAGCAACAAAUGCCCUGCUUCCAGGAAAAGCCUCUAAGCAUCAGGUAACAUCAAAUCGUACCCCAAACCGACACAGGUGGUCAGGUAGAGAAUACCAAGGCGCUUGAGAGAACUCGGGUGAAGGAACUAGGCAAAAUGGUGCCGUAACUUCGGGAGAAGGCACGCUGAUAUGUAGGUGAAGUCCCUCGCGGAUGGAGCUGAAAUCAGUCGAAGAUACCAGCUGGCUGCAACUGUUUAUUAAAAACACAGCACUGUGCAAACACGAAAGUGGACGUAUACGGUGUGACGCCUGCCCGGUGCCGGAAGGUUAAUUGAUGGGGUCAGCGCAAGCGAAGCUCUUGAUCGAAGCCCCGGUAAACGGCGGCCGUAACUAUAACGGUCCUAAGGUAGCGAAAUUCCUUGUCGGGUAAGUUCCGACCUGCACGAAUGGCGUAAUGAUGGCCAGGCUGUCUCCACCCGAGACUCAGUGAAAUUGAACUCGCUGUGAAGAUGCAGUGUACCCGCGGCAAGACGGAAAGACCCCGUGAACCUUUACUAUAGCUUGACACUGAACAUUGAGCCUUGAUGUGUAGGAUAGGUGGGAGGCUUUGAAGUGUGGACGCCAGUCUGCAUGGAGCCGACCUUGAAAUACCACCCUUUAAUGUUUGAUGUUCUAACGUUGACCCGUGAUCCGGGUUGCGGACAGUGUCUGGUGGGUAGUUUGACUGGGGCGGUCUCCUCCUAAAGAGUAACGGAGGAGCACGAAGGUUGGCUAAUCCUGGUCGGACAUCAGGAGGUUAGUGCAAUGGCAUAAGCCAGCUUGACUGCGAGCGUGACGGCGCGAGCAGGUGCGAAAGCAGGUCAUAGUGAUCCGGUGGUUCUGAAUGGAAGGGCCAUCGCUCAACGGAUAAAAGGUACUCCGGGGAUAACAGGCUGAUACCGCCCAAGAGUUCAUAUCGACGGCGGUGUUUGGCACCUCGAUGUCGGCUCAUCACAUCCUGGGGCUGAAGUAGGUCCCAAGGGUAUGGCUGUUCGCCAUUUAAAGUGGUACGCGAGCUGGGUUUAGAACGUCGUGAGACAGUUCGGUCCCUAUCUGCCGUGGGCGCUGGAGAACUGAGGGGGGCUGCUCCUAGUACGAGAGGACCGGAGUGGACGCAUCACUGGUGUUCGGGUUGUCAUGCCAAUGGCACUGCCCGGUAGCUAAAUGCGGAAGAGAUAAGUGCUGAAAGCAUCUAAGCACGAAACUUGCCCCGAGAUGAGUUCUCCCUGACUCCUUGAGAGUCCUGAAGGAACGUUGAAGACGACGACGUUGAUAGGCCGGGUGUGUAAGCGCAGCGAUGCGUUGAGCUAACCGGUACUAAUGAACCGUGAGGCUUAACCUUACAACGCCGAAG